CCGAGCCCGGCGGGACUAUGUUCACCAGCACCGGCUCCAGUGGGCUCUAUGGAGUUUCUCCCUGUCGUCCAGGCUGGAGUACAAUGGUGUGAUCUCGGCUCACUGCAGUCUCUGUCUCCUGGGUUCAAACAAGGCGCCUCUGUCGAAGAGCCUUCUGCUGGUCCCCAGUGCCCUCUCCCUCCUGCUCGCCCUCCUCCUGCCUCACUGCCAGAAGCUCUUUGUGUAUGACCUUCACGCAGUCAAGAACGACUUCCAGAUUUGGAGGUUGAUAUGUGGAAGAAUAAUUUGCCUUGAUUUGAAAGAUACUUUCUGCAGUAGUCUGCUUAUUUAUAAUUUUAGGAUAUUUGAAAGAAGAUAUGGAAGCAGAAAAUUUGCAUCCUUUUUGCUGGGUUCCUGGGUUUUGUCAGCCUUAUUUGACUUUCUCCUCAUCGAAGCUAUGCAGUAUUUCUUUGGCAUCACUGCAGCUAGUAAUUUGCCUUCUGGAUUCCUGGCACCUGUGUUUGCUCUGUUUGUACCAUUUUACUGCUCCAUACCAAGAGUCCAAGUGGCACAAAUUCUGGGCCCGUUGUCCAUCACAAACAAGACAUUGAUUUAUAUAUUGGGACUGCAG
Molecule: small RNA, 610 nt
Filed under: Pan troglodytes (chimpanzee)
Lineage: Eukaryota; Metazoa; Chordata; Mammalia; Primates; Hominidae
Description: processed transcript
Source: RNAcentral